AUUGAACGCUGGCGGCAGGCCUAACACAUGCAAGUCGAGCGGAUGAAGGGAGCUUGCUCCUGGAUUCAGCGGCGGACGGGUGAGUAAUGCCUAGGAAUCUGCCGGGAGGGGGGGGAUAAGGUCGGGAAAGGGGCGCUAAAACGGAUUACGUCCGGGGGGAGAAGGUGGGGGAUCUUCGAACCUAACGCUAUAGGAUAAGCCUAGGUCGGAUUAGCUAGUUGGUGGGGUAAAGGCCUACCAAGGCGACGAUCCGUAACUGGUCUGAGAGGAUGAUCAGUCACACUGGAACUGAGACACGGUCCAGACUCCUACGGGAGGCAGCAGUGGGGAAUAUUGGACGAUGGGCGAAAGCCUGAUCCAGCCAUGCCGCGUGUGUGAAGAAGGUCUUCGGAUUGUAAAGCACUUUAAGUUGGGAGGAAGGGCAGUAAGUUAAUACCUUGCUGUUUUGACGUUACCAACAGAAUAAGCACCGGCUAACUUCGUG
This 484-nucleotide ribosomal RNA is filed under the name uncultured bacterium. RNAcentral's name for it is "partial 16S ribosomal RNA". It matches the Rfam family "Bacterial small subunit ribosomal RNA", at positions 30 to 507 of the family's 1533-position model. The record is from RNAcentral.